Molecule: unclassified non-coding RNA, 317 nt
Filed under: Athalia rosae (coleseed sawfly)
Lineage: Eukaryota; Metazoa; Arthropoda; Insecta; Hymenoptera; Athaliidae
Description: misc RNA ENSAEAG00005011376.1
Source: RNAcentral
UUCAUAGUUUAGCGGGCAAGUAGGAGUUCGCAUACCUGUCAGAAGAGCCAAAUAAAGGACAAAAUAAAUAAGAAUAGCUUUCAACAGUAGCAGCAACGAGAUCUCAGAAAUAAUACAGGAACGAGGAACGCUGUCGUCCUCGGUGACCCUAAAUAGACAAAAAAUAAAUGAAAUAAUAAGAUUAAAUCACAGUCCACGAGAUUGCGUGAAUUGCCAGAAAAUUUUCAUCGACAGAACUACUAGUGCUAUUAUUAUUGUCCUUGUUAUUACGAAAUUGCAAAAAUAUCUAUGAAGGACUGUCGAAUCAUACAGAUGAG